GAUUUCAAGAGGCUGAUGUGAUCAAUCAACAUUAAGGUGCCUGUUUCUUUAUAUCCAGUGAAUGCCUGAGGCCAUAAGAUUAGCUUUGCUCAUAUCUGAUGUUGAUCUGAUGUUUGUAUUGCAAAUAUUUCAAUCAAGUGAGUAAGUUCUAGGCCCAAUUUUUUAUGGAACAUAUUCCAAAUCCUUGAGCAAUAACCAUGCUCGUUUUCAAUGGAACCAAG
This 221-nucleotide long non-coding RNA is filed under the name Elaeis guineensis (African oil palm). RNAcentral describes it as "long non-coding RNA (EGUI_LNC019725)". Lineage: Eukaryota; Viridiplantae; Streptophyta; Magnoliopsida; Arecales; Arecaceae. The record is from RNAcentral.